GUAAAGCUUCCUUACUUUGGUUCCUCCUUGGCGAUUGAUAUAUCAGACUACCGUCCGACUGUCUGAUUGGAUCUUCACUGCUCUUUGUAGUAUCCAAGGCCUGAGGUGAUGUAGGACGUAAAGUACUGCUAAUAAUUCUCUGAAAUUUGCGGAUUCUUUCGCCUCCCCUAAUGACCAUCUUCCUUGGAACAUGGUGGAGCCUAAGUGAGCACCCUAACCUGUCCUUGAAGCGUCUGUAGUGACUAUCAUCCAAUCUUUUGGUCGAAAAGAUUAUCCUCCU
Pelobates cultripes (western spadefoot toad) is the source of this 280-nucleotide non-coding RNA. Lineage: Eukaryota; Metazoa; Chordata; Amphibia; Anura; Pelobatidae. The record is from the annotation of a GenBank genome assembly.